RNAcentral lists this ribosomal RNA (497 nucleotides) under uncultured bacterium. RNAcentral describes it as "partial 16S ribosomal RNA". It matches the Rfam family "Bacterial small subunit ribosomal RNA", at positions 28 to 508 of the family's 1533-position model. The record is from RNAcentral.
GACGAACGCUGGCGGCGUGCCUAAACAUGCAAGUAGAACGCUGAAGAGAGGAGCUUACUCUUCUUGGAUGAGUUGCGAACGGGGGAGUAACGCGUAGGUAACCUGCCUUGUAGCGGGGGAUAACUAUUGGAAACGAUAGCUAAUACCGCAUAACAAUGGAUGACACAUGUCAUUUAUUUGAAAGGGGCAAUUGCUCCACUACAAGAUGGACCUGCGUUGUAUUAGCUAGUAGGUGAGGUAAUGGCUCACCUAGGCGACGAUACAUAGCCGACCUGAGAGGGUGAUCGGCCACACUGGGACUGAGACACGGCCCAGACUCCUACGAGAGGCAGCAGUAGGGAAUCUUCGGCAAUGGGGGCAACCCUGACCGAGCAACGCCGCGUGAGUGAAGAAGGUUUUCGGAUCGUAAAGCUCUGCUGUAAGUCAAGAACGGGUGUGAGAGUGGAAAGUUCACACUGUGACGGUAGCUUACCAGAAAGGGACGGCUAACUACGUGC